Molecule: ribosomal RNA, 305 nt
Filed under: uncultured bacterium
Lineage: Bacteria
Description: bacterial SSU rRNA
Rfam family: Bacterial small subunit ribosomal RNA
Source: RNAcentral
GCCCGCCUACGGGGCGCAGCAGUGGGGAAUAUUGGGCAAUGGGCGCAAGCCUGACCCAGCAACGCCGCGUGAAGGAAGAAGGCUUUCGGGUUGUAAACUUCUUUUCUCAGGGACGAAGCAAGUGACGGUACCUGAGGAAUAAGCCACGGCUAACUACGUGCCAGCAGCCGCGGUAAUACGUAGGUGGCAAGCGUUAUCCGGAUUUACUGGGUGUAAAGGGCGUGUAGGCGGGACUGCAAGUCAGAUGUAAAAACCACGGGCUCACCCUGUGGCCUGCAUUUGAAACUGUAGUUCUUGAGUACUGG